CAGUAGCCGCGGUAAUACGUAGGUGGCAAGCGUUGUCCGGAAUUAUUGGGCGUAAAGGGCUCGCAGGCGGUUUCUUAAGUCUGAUGUGAAAGCCCCCGGCUCAACCGGGGAGGGUCAUUGGAAACUGGGAAACUUGAGUGCAGAAGAGGAGAGUGGAAUUCCACGUGUAGCGGUGAAAUGCGUAGAGAUGUGGAGGAACACCAGUGGCGAAGGCGACUCUCUGGUCUGUAACUGACGCUGAGGAGCGAAAGCGUGGGGAGCGAACAGGAUUAGAUACCCCUGAGUCCCUGUCUCUUAUACA
This 301-nucleotide ribosomal RNA is filed under the name uncultured bacterium. RNAcentral's name for it is "partial 16S ribosomal RNA". It matches the Rfam family "Bacterial small subunit ribosomal RNA", at positions 509 to 808 of the family's 1533-position model. The record is from RNAcentral.